UCACCUGAUUGGUCUGCUACUCAAGCCGCUUGUUUUCCGGUUUAAAGAUGGCGUUUCCCUCCGUCAGCUUACAGACACAAACAGAAGUCGCUAACUAAAAUAAAUCUGAGGUUGUUUCACAUCAUCGUUGUUUUCCUCGUCGCACCGUUUCGCUGGGUGGCUACACUCUUCGUGGGACCAACAAAACUAAAUAAAAAUACGUCCGCUCCUGUGCUCCAUCCGCUCCAACGAAUCGAACCGGAAGUCCGGAAAGCUGGUGACGUCAUCGAUUCAAAACUUGCUGAGACUGCCUGUGGUGCUGCUGUGCUGUGUGCAUCCUAAUCUCUCCACAGCUCUGUGUCUAAUGGCCGCGCCGCCUCUCCGCUCUCCCUCUGCCUCCACUUCAGCUGCAGCCAAGCAGGCAAAACGAGGAGGAUGGAGAGUCAUAACCCACAUCUGCCAGAGCUGAGUCGCAUGUUUAGGAUGAGAAACGGGUUCAGCGUUUCGUUGCAGCACCUGAGGCCACGUUUCCCUUCUUGAACCUUUCACAUUGUCCUGCUGUCAAAGCCGUCCCAGGUGUCCUCAUCACGUCCUCGCAGGUGUCCCGCCUGCCGACCUUUGGCCUUUCAACCCUCCCACCUGGGCGACGCCUCGGCCGACCCGCUCUGAACUCUGACCCCGCGGACUGUGGAUCAUCCUGGGGGUCCCCUCUUAAAAGCAUUUCUGUAGCGCUGAAAGUCUGGGCUCAUAAAUCAGAGCAGGAUGAUGAUGAUGAUGAUGAUGAUGAUGAUGAUGCACCGACGCUCAGGUCUCUAAAAACGACUCAGACAUCAAAGAAACUCACUUUACAAGUGACCAGAACUGUUUGACAAGGAAGGCAAAACAUUUUUAUAACAUCUAUUUUCAUUUUAAUAAGAAUCGUUUAUUUUUUUACACACAAAAAUGUUUGCUUUUGUUACAUUAAAGGUACCUUUUUUAUCUUUAAGCAUGUGUUAGACAUACUUUCCAUUAAUCCCACAUUUUUGUUUUUAAAAAUAGAUUUCUUUCUUAUUAGUCUGAUCUUAAAUGUGCUUUCAUUCACUGUUAGCAGAAAGUCGUCAUAAUUAAAAGGAA
Molecule: long non-coding RNA, 1092 nt
Organism: Poecilia latipinna (sailfin molly)
Lineage: Eukaryota; Metazoa; Chordata; Actinopteri; Cyprinodontiformes; Poeciliidae
Exons: 3
Source: RefSeq, a predicted model, not a curated record